This 465-nucleotide ribosomal RNA is filed under the name uncultured bacterium. RNAcentral's name for it is "partial 16S ribosomal RNA". It matches the Rfam family "Bacterial small subunit ribosomal RNA", at positions 28 to 507 of the family's 1533-position model. The record is from RNAcentral.
GACGAACGCUGGCGGCGUGCUUAACACAUGCAAGUCGAACGGAAAGGCCCCUUUGGGGGUACUCGAGUGGCGAACGGGUGCGUAACACGUGAGUAACCUGCCCUUGACUUCGGGAUAACUUCAGGAAACUGGGGCUAAUACCGGAUAGGAAUCCUUGCUGCAUGGUGGGGGUUGGAAAGCUUCGGCGGUUUUGGAUGGACUCGCGGCUUAUCAGCUUGUUGGUGGGGUAGUGGCUUACCAAGGCUUUGACGGGUAGCCGGCCUGAGAGGGCGACCGGCCACAUUGGGACUGAGAGAAGGCCCAGACUCCGACGGGAGGCAGCAGUGGGGAAGAUUGCACAAUGGGCGGAAGCCUGAUGCAGCAACGCCGCGGGCGGGAUGACGGCCUUCGGGUUGGAAACCGCUUUCAGCAGGGGAGAAGCUUGUGGUGACGGUACCUGCAGAAGAAGCACCGGCUAACUACGUG